This 253-nucleotide ribosomal RNA is filed under the name uncultured bacterium. RNAcentral describes it as "partial 16S ribosomal RNA". It matches the Rfam family "Bacterial small subunit ribosomal RNA", at positions 524 to 776 of the family's 1533-position model. The record is from RNAcentral.
UACGGAGGAUGCAAGCGUUAUCCGGAAUGAUUGGGCGUAAAGCGUCCGCAGGUGGCUGUGUAAGUCUGCUGUCAAAGAGCAAAGCUCAACUUUGUAAAGGCAGUGGAAACUACACGGCUAGAGUGCGUUCGGGGCAGAGGGAAUUCCUGGUGUAGCGGUGAAAUGCGUAGAGAUCAGGAAGAACCCCGGUGGCGAAGGCGCUCUGCUAGGCCGCAACUGACACUGAGGGACGAAAGCUAGGGGAGCGAAUGGG